Molecule: small nucleolar RNA, 138 nt
Filed under: Propithecus coquereli (Coquerel's sifaka)
Lineage: Eukaryota; Metazoa; Chordata; Mammalia; Primates; Indriidae
Description: Small nucleolar RNA SNORA8 (ENSPCOG00000000765.1)
Rfam family: Small nucleolar RNA SNORA8
About the family: ACA8 is a member of the H/ACA class of snoRNA that guide the sites of modification of uridines to pseudouridines.
Source: Rfam by way of RNAcentral
UGCACUGCACGGUUCUGCAUUCAGCAGUUUAUUCCUGCCGGGGUGUUCAAAGCUCAGUGCCGCAGAAAUUCAGUAUCUGGCAUCUUUGGUUUUCUUGGCUUUGUGCAUAUUUAACCUUGUAUUUCUGUUGAUAUAGUA